RNAcentral lists this ribosomal RNA (342 nucleotides) under Theileria ovis. RNAcentral's name for it is "SSU rRNA". It matches the Rfam family "Eukaryotic small subunit ribosomal RNA", at positions 548 to 923 of the family's 1831-position model. The record is from RNAcentral. Lineage: Eukaryota; Apicomplexa; Aconoidasida; Piroplasmida; Theileriidae.
UUGGAGGGCAAGUCUGGUGCCCGCACCCGCGGUAAUUCCAGCUCCAAUAGCGUAUAUGAAAAUUGUUGCAGUUAAAAAGCUCGUAGUUGAAUUUCUGCUGCAUUGCUUUUGCUCCUUUACGAGUCUUUGCAUUGUGGCUUAUUUCGGACUUUGUUUUACAAUGUCCGGAUGUUUACUUUGAGAAAAUUAGAGUGCUCAAAGCAGGCUUUCGCCUUGAAUAGUUUAGCAUGGAAUAAUAAAGUAGGACUUUGGUUCUAUUUUGUUGGUUUUAGGUACCAAAGUAAUGGUUAAUAGGAACAGUUGGGGGCAUUCGUAUUUAACUGUCAGAGGUGAAAUUCUUAG